This is a long non-coding RNA of Engraulis encrasicolus (European anchovy), 302 nucleotides long. RefSeq lists it as uncharacterized. The record is from RefSeq and is a predicted model, not a curated record. Lineage: Eukaryota; Metazoa; Chordata; Actinopteri; Clupeiformes; Engraulidae. The transcript has 2 exons.
UCUGUCAAUGGGGGAUAGAUUUACUCAACACCAUGUGACCAUCAAACCACAACUGACAACUUGGCAUGGAAAAAUGUGUCUAUCAACCUCACUUCAAGGCAGCCGAUAUGGGACCACCAGAACUCUAUGAUCCAUCAGCUCUACUCAACACUCCAAAGGAUAAACAACUGACUGUGUUGUGAAGUCUGACACUAUUUUGGGAGAAAUGUUAUUGUAAGUUAGGCUAUAUGGAUCUCCUUCAGCCACCAACUCCUAAUAAAAGAUUCAGAAAUGGACAACAAAUAAAUGACUAAAUUCCCUAA